This 80-nucleotide transfer RNA is filed under the name Diaphorina citri (Asian citrus psyllid). It matches the Rfam family "tRNA". Rfam says of the family: Transfer RNA (tRNA) molecules are approximately 80 nucleotides in length. Their secondary structure includes four short double-helical elements and three loops (D, anti-codon, and T loops). The record is from Rfam by way of RNAcentral. Lineage: Eukaryota; Metazoa; Arthropoda; Insecta; Hemiptera; Psyllidae.
GCCUAGUUAGCUUAGUUGGUAGUGCGUCUGCCUUGUAAGUUGUAAGCGCUAGGCCGCGGGUUCGAUUCCCGCCCGGGGCG